GUGCCGUCACGGUGCAGCUUGCCGGCAACACCUGGCUUGCCGGCAGUUGUCGAGCGCGUGGAAAAAGCUCCUCAACAGCGUACGUCCGCUUCAGCACCGGAGCCGAGGCUGGCUCAACAAGCAGCAGUGCUGUCUCCUCAACGCGAGCGUCAGCCGUUGCUGUCCUCAACGGCGGCACCACUGCACUGGAUGACACGCGAGAAGUGCUGCGGAGCACCAGAACGACAAUAUUUCUCAUUUCAAUGUAAAAGGAAAUGAAAGCUCGACUUGCACAGAAAGGCGGAAUAAGGUUUUCUUGCAACGGAGGAGCAGGUGGAAUUCAUGGACAUGCCAGGACAAGCCGGUGGAGUUUCCGGGUUUUACCUUUGGUCACUAUUUUUCUACCCAUGCUGGCGCCUUGGGCAUUAUGAGAUUGAGCCGAAAUAGUGAAAAACCAUUGGCUGUCAACAAUGACAGUGAUAUGUGGCUGUAUGCUCUUGACUCUGGAGUGAAGAUAACCAUGUUAGACGCAACCUGGUGUGUCCUUCCGAAACGAGCUGCAUUUUACAUCUGCCGAGGAGUGCCUUAUGCCCUAAAAAAUCUGAGCCUGACAACCUGCAACAUCCUUUAUAUUCUCACAGAGGGGUGGAAGCCUGAUCGAGUGUCAUAGUCUUUUUUUUUCGCGAAAUUUUUUGCGUCCUUUAAAAUUUUUUUGAAGUCACAAUUGUAAGAGACUUUUAAAGGUUUUUCUUUGUGUCACGAGGUUGUUCACAUUUAAUUUCAAUAAUUGACAACCUUUUAUUUAUAAAGACAUGUUCAAGUUAACAUUUCCAUGGGCCGAAUGUUCGAAUUCGCAUUCCAUGUACACACCUCUCACUGUACAAAGUUUGGCUAAUGUUUGAUGUUUUAUUAGAGUUGUAUAAUGCCUGAAUUUUCAGCGUCAUGUUGUAUGUACAGUGUUGCACUAAUUACUUUGAAAAAAAUAUAUUUUUUGCAAUGUAUGCCCUCUUCACAAAAAGCCUGGCCUAUAGUUAGAGGCUGCGUCCUAUUUGGAGUGCAUUCUUAUGUUAUUUGUGCUUGCUAUUGGACCUGGCAUGCUUCAGCAGCAAUGAAAGUGAGGAAGUAAAAGUAGCGGACAUUUUAAAUUGCUUCAGAAAUACCACUCUGUAUGCGACACCUGAGGUUGACAAGUCUCAGCAGCAGGUGUCUGGCACAAAGCACGUAAGACAUGUGUUCAUGCUGUUUAUGUUGAUUGGUUGGGCAGAAACAUCCCACUGUGCAUUGUGUUAUGCUGUCCAUGUUCAUUUGUCAAGCAGACACACCAUAGUGUAAAUAGUGCUAAUAGUUUACUUGCUGCCUUUUAGCAUCUGUUGUAAAGCCCAGCUCUAGUCAAACCCACCUAUAUCAAACUUGCAGAGAGACUAAUUACUUCUAUAUAGUGUGUACUUGAGUAUAAAACUUUCACAAAAUAAAUUGGCCUGAAUCUA
RNAcentral lists this unclassified non-coding RNA (1466 nucleotides) under Rhipicephalus microplus (southern cattle tick). Its description in RNAcentral is "uncharacterized LOC119175635, transcript variant X1". Lineage: Eukaryota; Metazoa; Arthropoda; Arachnida; Ixodida; Ixodidae. The record is from RNAcentral.